UGCCUUCUCAUGUGAACUGAUGUCUCUUGU
This 30-nucleotide non-coding RNA is filed under the name Homo sapiens (human). Lineage: Eukaryota; Metazoa; Chordata; Mammalia; Primates; Hominidae. The record is from RNAcentral.